Ixodes scapularis (black-legged tick) is the source of this 1679-nucleotide RNA transcript. RefSeq lists it as uncharacterized. NCBI's taxonomy places the organism in Eukaryota, Metazoa, Arthropoda, Arachnida, Ixodida, Ixodidae. The record is from RefSeq and is a predicted model, not a curated record. The transcript is spliced from 11 exons.
AGGGCAGUUUUUUUUUUUCUUCUCAGAUUUAAGUGAUUUAAGCAUUUAAGUCCGCCGCGCAUGUGUUCUUGUGUGUUCCUUUUCAAUCGGUGGGGAUGGCGUCGGAAGCGGCAGAUGACUCGGAACGUGCUCCAAGGAGAGGUUUCAGGUGGUUCUCUAGUACACAACAAUUGGAACCUUCAAGCAAGUUCGAACAAAGUGCCGGGCUGCCUUCAACAGAAGACCACCCUCUCGGCCAACCAUCAUCAAGUGGGUGACAAGGUUUGCCCAGGACAAGAACAUGACAAACAAGUCUCCUAACCGCGUAGAAACGUCGCCGAAACGAAGACAGCAUCCAGCCGUUCUUGACGCUUUCGAUGCGCAGUCCCACCUUUUGAUCAGGCGUGCUGCUCGUCAGCUCAGCCUAAGCCGGGGCUUCGUGUGGGGUACGUAAAGGCCCAAGUGUACACCCGGCGAUCGAGGACCAUCUCGCAGCUGAAAGAACACAUCAUCGACGCGUUCGAGACCAUCAGUGAUGAUGUGCGGGAGGCCAUCUUCCAGGACUGCGAGAGGAGGCUGGGGCCAGCCAGGGCCCCUCUGGCAGCCUGGGUCCUUGGGCUACAGCCCCCUUAGCCCGUGCAUUAAUCCUGCCCUGGUGGGUGUGCCAAGCAUGACCGGAAGGAAAGUUUUGAAACGAGAUGACCUGUAUGCUGUACCUUGCCACUCAUCGCUGCUAGGAAUUUUUUGACACUUAAGAAGCAUGAAAAAAGCUGUGUCAUGCAGAGGACAUGUUGGGCCUUGAGAGUGAGAUUGAUCUUGGCUAAGGAAGAAGGAAAAAAAAGACAACAGAGAGCACUAAGUUCCAGCCCAGAAGCUGUAAUGAGACCGUCGUUGCCGCCACACUUCAUGAUCAAAAAAGCAGCUGGGAGACGUAGAUGAUCACUACCACAUUCGUUGGCAAGCUCCCAACCUUCAACACCUUCAGUAUCUGUGGCACAUGAUGAAACACUGCCAAAGAAUGGUGAACGAAUUGUACCGCAUGGAAAGAAUCUGCAUUCAACUGCGAUUCCGAAGACAUGUUUCAACAGGACACGUAAGCUAGGCAUUGCCUGUUUCGGGUUUAUGUGUCAGGCUUUAUAAUGCAUUCUUUUCGCUCGGAGAGCCAACCUAACCAGAAAAGCUAUGAACCACAGCAGCGCACCUCAUGGCAUUCAAGCAGAGUGCAGCAAAAUCCAGCAUCUGAGGAACAUACACUAACAAGCCCUAGGCCAUGUACCAGCAACGCAUAUGACUGCGAAAUUCGUGAAAGCUCCAGAUCAGGGCUAAACAGGCAGAUGGUUUGGCUUCUGCAGACUAUACUCAUCAGGGUUGAGCAUCAAGGCACCCAACUGGACGCCAUAUCCGCCAGGCUUUCUGAUGGCGGACUCGAGCUUCAAGAAGACUUAGAAGGACCAUUUUCUAAUAUACAAGACUUCGAAACGUUUGAUCAGGACUUGUCGGAGAACAAUGUGAUGAGGUUGAAGUUGAGCCCUUCUCUGUCUGAGGAUCGAGCUGUGUGAAACAACAUACAAGUCUGAAGUUUUUAGUUUCGGAUUAUGUUUUCUUGUGAUAAUUUUUUCAUAGUUUUUAGUCUUUUUCAAAGCUGUGCAAUCUUUCAGAAUUAUAAUCCUGUUCCUGAAAGUAAAGUUUAUAUUUCAGUC